UACGGGGGGGGCAAGCGUUGUUCGGAAUUACUGGGCGUAAAGGGCUCGUAGGUGGCCAACUAAGUCAGACGUGAAAUCCCUCGGCUUAACCGGGGAACUGCGUCUGAUACUGGAUGGCUUGAGUUCGGGAGAGGGAUGCGGAAUUCCAGGUGUAGCGGUGAAAUGCGUAGAGAUCCGGAGGAACCCCAGAGGCGAAGGCGGCGCCCUGGCUCGCAACUGACGCUCAGACACGACAGCAUGGGGAGCGAACAGG
This 253-nucleotide ribosomal RNA is filed under the name uncultured bacterium. RNAcentral's name for it is "partial 16S ribosomal RNA". It matches the Rfam family "Bacterial small subunit ribosomal RNA", at positions 524 to 776 of the family's 1533-position model. The record is from RNAcentral.